This 256-nucleotide ribosomal RNA is filed under the name uncultured bacterium. Its description in RNAcentral is "partial 16S ribosomal RNA". It matches the Rfam family "Bacterial small subunit ribosomal RNA", at positions 57 to 305 of the family's 1533-position model. The record is from RNAcentral.
GCAAGUCGAACGAGAACGGAUAUUAGUUUACUAAUAUUGUCAGCUAAGUGGCGCACGGGUGAGUAAUAUAUAGUUAAUCUGCCCAAAAGAAGGGGAUAAUUGUUGGAAACGACUUGUAAGACCCUAUAUACCUUUUAUACAUAAGUAUUGAAAGGGAAACAUUUAUGGCUUUUGGAUGAGACUGUAGAGUAUCAGAUAGUUGGUAGGGUAAAGGCCUACCAAGUCAAUGACGCUUAACUGGUUUGAGAGGAUGAUC